AGCUCGGCCGCACAGUCAGGUUUCUGGCGGGUGUGGAUUGUUUUCUGCCCCUGGGGCCUGGGUGGGAAGCGGGAAGACCCGAGAAGCUGGUGGCCCACGCAGUCUUCUGCCAUUGUCGCACCCCCUGCGGGCUGCAGAGGCACCCCCGGGGCCCUCGCAGCUGAAAUACAGAAACCAGGCCCUGCCUGAACAAAAAAAGGCACUGGCUGCCGGGACUCAUGAGUAGGGCCUUCUGCACAAACAUUGGGUAGAAGCCGCGAAUAGUAUUGCGAGGGUUGCUGAAAUUUGAUGCUCUUGGUGGGUUGUGAACAGCCCCAAAGCUUCUGGAGACACGGGGAAGGGCGUGGCUCCUUCCCGGUGGUGAGCGAAUUGGUGCGAGUUGGAAGGCCCAUCCCAGACCUUGUGCCCCACUCACCUAGGAUGCGGAGACAAAUUACCUGCUGCCAGCCUAACGGGAGAAAGAGAAGUAAACAAUCAAACGAUGCUGUGUGAUGAGAGCUCUCGAGCUCCAGAAAAGGCCUGAGCCAGGGGGCAUCUCAGAGGAGGUGACUGAGGAGGUGACUGAGGGACCGAGAAGGUAUCCCCUGCAUCCACAGGGAUGUGGGGGGCAGGGCGGGCUCUGGGUGCUGCCGGCCCCCGGGGGGUCCCCCACCCCCUGGGCUCUGCAGACUGCCAGGUGCCAGAAAGCCUGAGAUCCCAAGCCAUCGAAAUGAAGGCAACCGCCGUGGAGAGGUCAAGGACAACUGCACUGGAAGAGUGAACGCCCUGACCACAGCGGGCCAGAGAAGCGGCUCCGGGAUCAGCACCUGGACUGAACGCACUGCUCAUCACACCCCCGACUCCUUCCUUCGGCCGCGGCAUUUUCUGGAGGGCCGGCAGUCAUCCAACCCUGGACAGGAUGCCGCUUUGGCUUGCAGAACCUCGGUAACCCCGUGUCCUCUGGAUCACCCUGGGGCCCUGUCCCCCCGCCCCAGGACGGUCGUCACCAUCACUGCGGUUGGAAGCACCACGGUGGUGGGCGACAUCUGGUGCGCACUCACCACGUAGGAGGUGCUGGCCUCGCCCUUUGGGUGUGUCUGGGAGCUCCGUGCCCACUUUACAGACAGGAAGACGGAGAGAGGCAGAGGCAUCCGUCCAGGAUGGCGCGCUUGACGCGCCCUUGAGUCGGAUUCAGGCUCCGGGGAAAAGUCUGGGCCCUGAGUGUGGCGGGCUGGAAUGUCCGAACCGAAGCCAGGCUGGGGCUGGAGUCUUUGGUGGGGGCCCUUGGCGGGGCUGGGAGGUCGCGGAAAGCCAGGGGCCGGAAGGCAGCCCGCAGGCCCGGGAGAGAGAGCAGACGUGAGAGGAGGACGCGCGGACCCCUCCGCCCCUGAGCAGGAAGGGGCGCGCACACGCUCGUGCACACGUGGCGCACGCGCACCGGCACGCGCCCAGGCAGCGCCCCCCCCCCCCCCCCCCGGGACCUGCACACACACGCAUGACGCACACAUCCAGGCACGGCCCGCGCGAUGCACACGCGCGCACGCACAGCCGUGCACGCGUGCACGCAAAUGCACAUGCGCACGGGCGCGAACACGCCACAUGCUCGCGGAACCUCAGAACAGACCGUCUGCCCAUCUCUCUCCUUAGCAAUUAUCAUGGUGCAUUCAUUCAUGCAACGAGCAUAUGUCGAGCCAUUUUCGGUGCCUGGCCGGGGGCGGGGACGGGGUGGGGAGGGGAGGGUGGUCCCUGCAGCCCCAGCUGAGAGGACCCAGAGAGGACCCACAGUCCCGACCCGACUGUCCCCCUGGCCGGCCUGAAGGCAGGGGUGGGGUUGUGGGGAACCGGACCGGCCCGCCUCGGGCCCAGGAGGCCCCCACACUGAUCCCGUCCCCCCGUGGGAGCUCCCAAGGGUGGGGCCCUCAGCACCCAGCUAGGGGAAGGAGGGGAGAUCAGGGGAGGGGCCACGAGUAAUACCCUAACUCUCCCCAUCUUCCUCCCCUCCCCCUCUCUCCUUCCCUCUGCCUAAUCCCUUCUUCCCCCAGCCUCUCCCUCCCUCCCUCUCUCCUUCUCACGAAUGCAUCCCUCAGUUUCCCUAUCUGGGCAAUGGGCGCGUGCCAGCGCCUUCCUCACUGAGCUGCGAGGGGAAUGCUUCACAGAGGGGGCUUGGGCCGCUGCCCUUCCUCUAGGCAAGGAUCAGCCUGUGCCCCGAGUGUGGCAGCAGGACCCCCGCACCCUACCCUGCACGCUUUUGCGCCCCAUCUCCCUCCACACACACACUUGGCCACGUUGCGCAGCCUGGCUAGUCGCACCCUCCCCCGCCUCAGUGGAGCUCCCCCUCAAGUCCCGGGCAGUGACAAGUGCGAGGCCCGCGGACCCCCCCUGACCCUGGCUGCAGGGCUCUGCUCAUUGAUCCAAAGAAGCUCUUUCCUUUCCCUCAGGCGCUUCUCUGAAGGAUGGAAAAAUCGAUGCCCGCAGAAGAGCGGGUGCAGGGAAGUUA
Long non-coding RNA from Neofelis nebulosa (Clouded leopard), 2476 nucleotides. RefSeq lists it as uncharacterized. The record is from RefSeq and is a predicted model, not a curated record. NCBI's taxonomy places the organism in Eukaryota, Metazoa, Chordata, Mammalia, Carnivora, Felidae. The transcript has 2 exons.